UACAGAGGGUGCGAGCGUUGUUCGGAAUUAUUGGGCGUAAAGCGCUUGUAGGCGGCACGUCAAGUCGCGUGUGAAAUCCCCAGGCUUAACCUGGGAAGUGCGCGCGAAACUGACGAGCUUGAGUGCCGGAGAGGGUCGCGGAAUUCCCGGUGUAGAGGUGAAAUUCGUAGAUAUCGGGAGGAACACCAGUGGCGAAGGCGGCGACCUGGACGGACACUGACGCUGCGACGCGAAAGCGUGGGGAGCAAACAGG
Molecule: ribosomal RNA, 253 nt
Filed under: uncultured bacterium
Lineage: Bacteria
Description: partial 16S ribosomal RNA
Rfam family: Bacterial small subunit ribosomal RNA
Source: RNAcentral